Molecule: long non-coding RNA, 481 nt
Filed under: Chinchilla lanigera (long-tailed chinchilla)
Lineage: Eukaryota; Metazoa; Chordata; Mammalia; Rodentia; Chinchillidae
Description: lncRNA (ENSCLAG00000026419.1)
Source: RNAcentral
AUGGCUUCUAUCCUCAACACUGCUCAGGGCUUAAAGGAUCUGAGGCAGCUCAUAGAUGCAUCCGAAGCCCUGUUAUGUGUUGGAAAGAAGUAUUGUUUGGGUUUCACUGCCUGUUCGCUUUUGGCCCAUGCCUUGGGGCACAUCCUUCAGUGUCUCCAUGUAUUGCGGAGGCUGACCUGGUUCUCACUUGGAGAAUCAUCUUUUAAACAUGACAUGGUGGAGCCAUGCUGGGAGCAACUGGGAGAUGGUGGAAGUUUUUUCAGUCUUGGCACGGAGCAAAUUCAUUACAAUCAACACGACUGACUAAAGAAACGUCUUGGCAAUGUGCCCAUUAAAUUGAACUCAGCGCAACUGUUUAUGAGUCCCGUACAUUUUUAAUUUGCUUAUUUGCACAUACACUUUUUAAAAACUGUAUUCCCUUAUCUCCAUCCUCUCUUCCCAUUCCUCUCCCCUCACUUUCACAAAUAUAUUUUAAUUUCUU